RNAcentral lists this ribosomal RNA (432 nucleotides) under uncultured Bacillota bacterium. RNAcentral's name for it is "bacterial SSU rRNA". It matches the Rfam family "Bacterial small subunit ribosomal RNA", at positions 948 to 1382 of the family's 1533-position model. The record is from RNAcentral. Lineage: Bacteria; Bacillati; Bacillota.
AAUUCGAAGCAACGCGAAGAACCUUACCAGGUCUUGACAUCCUUUUGAAUGGUCUAGAGAUAGAUCAGGCCUUCGGGACAGAAGAGACAGGUGGUGCAUGGUUGUCGUCAGCUCGUGUCGUGAGAUGUUGGGUUAAGUCCCGCAAUGAGCGCAACCCUUAUCAUUAGUUGCUAACAUUCAGUUGAGAACUCUAAUGAGACUGCCAGUGAUAAACUGGAGGAAGGUGGGAUGACGUCAAAUCAUCAUGCCCCUUAUGACCUGGGCUACACACGUGCUACAAUGGCCGGUACAAAGAGUUGCGAAACUGUGAAGUUAAGCUAAUCUCAUAAAGCCGGUCUCAGUUCGGAUUGUAGUCUGCAACUCGACUACAUGAAGUCGGAAUCGCUAGUAAUCGCGAAUCAGAAUGUCGCGGUGAAUACGUUCUCGAGUCUU